This 469-nucleotide ribosomal RNA is filed under the name uncultured bacterium. RNAcentral's name for it is "bacterial SSU rRNA". It matches the Rfam family "Bacterial small subunit ribosomal RNA", at positions 331 to 792 of the family's 1533-position model. The record is from RNAcentral.
CCAGACUCCUACGGGAGGCAGCAGUGGAGAAUAUUGCACAAUGGGCGCAAGCCUGAUGCAGCCAUGCCGCGUGUGUGAAGAAGGCCUUCGGGUUGUAAAGCACUUUCAGCGGGGAGGAAGGCAAUAAGGUUAAUAACCUUGUUGAUUGACGUUACCCGCAGAAGAAGCACCGGCUAACUCCGUGCCAGCAGCCGCGGUAAUACGGAGGGUGCAAGCGUUAAUCGGAAUUACCGGGCGUAAAGCGCACGCAGGCGGUCUGUCAAGUCGGAUGUGAAAUCCCCGGGCUCAACCUGGGAACUGCAUUCGAAACUGGCAGGCUAGAGUCUUGUAGAGGGGGGUAGAAUUCCAGGUGUAGCGGUGAAAUGCGUAGAGAUCUGGAGGAAUACCGGUGGCGAAGGCGGCCCCCUGGACAAAGACUGACGCUCAGGUGCGAAAGCGUGGGGAGCAAACAGGAUUAGAUACCCCAGUA